Molecule: long non-coding RNA, 1408 nt
Filed under: Struthio camelus australis
Lineage: Eukaryota; Metazoa; Chordata; Aves; Struthioniformes; Struthionidae
Description: lncRNA (ENSSCUG00000008919.1)
Source: RNAcentral
CAAGGUUUAGAGGUUUCAACCUUUCCUGGUGCCACUGUUUUCUUUUGCGCAAGAGGGUUGAGCAUCAGGCACCCUAGGUGGGGUGGCCCCUGUGCCCAGCUUGCUGGUCUGGCAGGGAAGCGCUUUCAGCCACUCGUCACAAGGACCGUUUGGUUAUUCCCUGCAGAACCGAAUGCAGAAGGAGCUGUCGGCUCGCAGCGUCGGCCGUGCAGCCCACCGGAGAAGUCUGCACGGCUCUGCCAGUUGCACAGAAUGAUUCUACUGUAUGAAUUUUUUAAAGAGCCUUCAAUAUACUGUGCGUGUGAAGGGAAGGUAGUAAUCAGAGUAAUCUUGAAGAGUCUUGCAAGUGCACCUCCUUCUAUCCUUUCGUUCUUCAAACAAACUUCUGCGGAGAAGACCAUGCUAUAGUGAAUUUUAACAUCAAGGCAAGCAUCCAGGUGUUUUUCACUUGUCCCAGGACAUAUCAGCAUGCAAGAGCUCAUUGCUGUGGCCCAGCUCCGUAGCCAGCCAGGCUUUUCUGGUGGCUUUUCGUUCUCCUGAGGGCAUCGCUCCGGCAGAGUCAGCGUGGAGGGCCGCGUUUCCAUCACAGCUCUGCCGUGGGGAUCCGAUGCUGAAUGGGCCCAGAGUUUAAAGGGCCCAUCUUUAUCUGAGAACCUAUAGCAGAAGUCAAGCUAAAAAGUGAUUUUACCACCAAAAAGGUUCUGUCCCUCAGGAUACCACCAGCCCUUUUUUGGCAGUCGGUGAUAACUGCCCUUGUUUUCGGAGGACGUUAUCUUGUUUAAAAGUGACUUGAGUUAGCUCUGCCCUGCCAGUAUUUAAGUCUGUGGGGGUAUAAUCUGAAGGAACCUUAACAAGUCUUUUUAAAUAGCAUGUCCAACUAUUAGAGCAGAUUUGUGCCCGAUAAGAAACAUAUCUCGGAAACUCUGCUUUGUAUCUGAGACCAGAGGCCAGCCACUAUAUUUGGUCUGCGUUUGUUUUCCUGAAAAAUCCUGGUAUAAAGCAGGCCCUGUAAAAUAUGGGCAAAUAGUUAAAAUGAAGGACAGAACAAACGAUGCAAAUAUAAUGUUCUUAUUACAAAUAAUGUUAUCUGCAACAGUAUGUCUUGUAAUUCAGCAGUUUUGAUAUUCCUAAAUUACAGUGACAGAAAAUGUUUCGUUUAGGUUCAUACAAAUUUUAUAUUAAAAUGCUUAUUUUUUUCCUGCUAUUUAAGGAGACUUGAAGACCUGUGUAUGGUUCUGUAUGUAUUCUUUUAUCUAAACAUCGCUACAGAAGCAAUAGAAAUUUGAGGCUUCUUAUGUACCAGCUACUUUUUCCUUUUCCUUCCUCAAAGGUUAUCUGUACAGUAGUGAUUAUAAUUUGAGUGUCCUAAGAAGAAAAUAUUUCCCCUGAAUUUAUUUCGUACCUAAUA